RNAcentral lists this ribosomal RNA (440 nucleotides) under uncultured bacterium. RNAcentral's name for it is "partial 16S ribosomal RNA". It matches the Rfam family "Bacterial small subunit ribosomal RNA", at positions 338 to 795 of the family's 1533-position model. The record is from RNAcentral.
CCUACGGGGGGCAGCAGUGGGGGAUAUUGCACAAUGGGGGAAACCCUGAUGCAGCGACGCCGCGUGUGGGAAGACGGUCCUCUGGAUUGUAAACCACUGUCUCCAGGGACGAAGAUGACGGUACCUGGGGAGGAAGCUCCGGCUAACUACGUGCCAGCAGCCGCGGUAAUACGUAGGGAGCGAGCGUUGUCCGGAAUUACUGGGUGUAAGGGGAGCGUAGGCGGGGAUGAAAGUUGGGUGUCAAAACUACCGGCUCAACUGGUAGUCGCACUCAAAACUGCAGCUCUUGAGUGAAGUAGAGGCAGGCGGAAUUCCUAGUGUAGCGGUGAAAUGCGUAGAUAUUAGGAGGAACACCUGUGGCGAAGGCGGCCUGCUGGGCUUUUACUGACGCUGAGGCUCGAAAGUGUGGGGAGCAAACAGGAUUAGAUAACCUGGUAGUC